RNAcentral lists this unclassified non-coding RNA (659 nucleotides) under Hevea brasiliensis (rubber tree). Lineage: Eukaryota; Viridiplantae; Streptophyta; Magnoliopsida; Malpighiales; Euphorbiaceae. The record is from RNAcentral.
UGAAUCGAUUCCAACUAACCACUUCAUAAUAUAGCCAAUUAAAUAACAAAUAAAAAAAUAAUGAGUUAAUGAAAAGUCAUUUUGAAUCUUCAAUUAAACUAGUUUAACCAGCUGCUAAAGACUAUUCUUUAACCCUAUCCUUAAAUUAGAAUUAAAAAAUUUAAUUAGCAAUUUCCCUUGCUAAAGAACUUUAACCCAUUCCGGCUUUCCUCAAAUUGGCAAUACUCAUCAAUUCAUGAAUUCUACUCUAAAAGGUAACAACUUUAAUACAUUUUCUUUCCUUCCCAUUAAUGGCUGUUUAAUUUAUUAUAUUCCUUUUUCUUUAAAAAAAAAAUUAAUAUGUAAUUUUCUUUUUUAUUUGCAAUUAUUUAAUUGCUUGGCUGUGUUAGUUUUUUUUGGAGCUUUUGUAAUUUAGUUUCUUUUAAUAUGUUAUUUCAUAUAUUUUCUUAUAUGUUGGUUUUAAGUUGUUAAAUUUUCAAUUAAACAAUAGAUUUUAUUGAUAUGGUAUAUGAUUAGAUAGCUUUUUUCUUGAGUUUUAGCUACAGUAAUUAUGGUUUUUUUUUUUUAAUUUUCCUUUAAAGUUACCAUUCAAGAAUAUUACAAUGAUAUAUUUGGUUAGAUUUUGUUCACCUGAUAGGUGAAUAAUUCACCUGAAAUUA